This 265-nucleotide long non-coding RNA is filed under the name Crocodylus porosus (Australian saltwater crocodile). RNAcentral describes it as "lncRNA (ENSCPRG00005010372.1)". Lineage: Eukaryota; Metazoa; Chordata; Crocodylia; Crocodylidae. The record is from RNAcentral.
UCUGGCUCGUUAAGGGUCUGACCCCCUGUCAUAGUCCAGCAGAAAGAAUAUGAGCUUUAAAAGACUUACUUUUCUGGGUUCACUGCUAGCCUAGCCCAGUCCCUUGACAAGAUGUUUCUUGGAAGGAGGAAGACACAAAAUUCAACACUGGUGGAAGUUGUGGACAUUGCUAAAGGAGAAAGGUCCCAAUCCUAGAACAACUGUAGCACAUAUAGACUCCUGCAUGCCUUUGAGUUCAGUGGAUCUCUUCAAAGGCCUGCAGUCU